UUAGAUCUAGUUAAAGUUACACAAUAGUUUCCGGUGUAGAAACUAUUGUGAGAAAAUUAAUUGAAUGCCUAAAAAAUUAAACUAACAAAGGAAAUAAAUUGCUGAAGAAAAAUAUGGAAUGCUGAAAAAAAAAUAUAAUGCUGUAAAAAUAAUGGCAACAGAAACAAGGUUGCUGAAAAAGAAAAAAAAUGCUAAAAGCUAGAAAGCUGAAAACUAAAUUGCAGAGCGUAAAAAAUGUAAAAGUAGGCCGUCCCCAAUUUUUCCCAUUUGGGUCCUUUAUAUAGUGUUCAUUUGGUCUUAGUGGUUGAGAAAAUCAAGGGAGACUUGGUUUUGGUGGUUGAGAAAAUCAAGGGAGACUUGGUUUUGAAUGAGGGAUCCGUGGAGAAAAG
This 389-nucleotide long non-coding RNA is filed under the name Lathyrus oleraceus (garden pea). Its description in RNAcentral is "Pisum sativum (pea) long non-coding RNA (PSAT_LNC006999)". The record is from RNAcentral. Lineage: Eukaryota; Viridiplantae; Streptophyta; Magnoliopsida; Fabales; Fabaceae.